Molecule: long non-coding RNA, 355 nt
Organism: Zophobas morio
Lineage: Eukaryota; Metazoa; Arthropoda; Insecta; Coleoptera; Tenebrionidae
Exons: 3
Source: RefSeq, a predicted model, not a curated record
GUCUUUUAGUCCACGGUUUUCCUCAACAACAGAAUGUAUGGCGAAAAUAAAGCUGGAGAUUUCUCCGCUGUUUCUCAGUCCUGUAAACAGUCAUUAUACCUAACUCUGGCCAAAUAUUACACUAAUAUGUCGUGGAAAAGUACAGUUCUAAGAGAUUACUUUAGAGGAUUAAAAAAAAUAGUGACAUAAUUUCGACCCAACGUUUCUCGCCCAACAAACUCUAUAGUGUAGCAGUUUCUAUUUAUUGACUUUAAGCCUUUGAAAAACUGGUAUAAAUGACCACUAUAUUUAGUAUUAUGCAAGGUGAACAGUUAUCUCCUAUUAUCAAAAUCGAAAGCCUAUGUAAUAAGUUGUG